RNAcentral lists this ribosomal RNA (450 nucleotides) under uncultured bacterium. RNAcentral describes it as "partial 16S ribosomal RNA". It matches the Rfam family "Bacterial small subunit ribosomal RNA", at positions 354 to 796 of the family's 1533-position model. The record is from RNAcentral.
GUGGGGAAUUUUGGACAAUGGGCGCAAGCCUGAUCCAGCAAUGCCGCGUGCAGGAAGAAGGCCUUCGGGUUGUAAACUGCUUUUGUACGGAACGAAACGGUCCUGGCUAAUACCUGGGGCUAAUGACGGUACCGUAAGAAUAAGCACCGGCUAACUACGUGCCAGCAGCCGCGGUAAUACGUAGGGUGCGAGCGUUAAUCGGAAUUACUGGGCGUAAAGCGUGCGCAGGCGGUGCUGUAAGACAGGCGUGAAAUCCCCGGGCUCAACCUGGGAAUUGCGCUUGUGACUGCAGUGCUGGAGUGCGGCAGAGGGGGAUGGAAUUCCGCGUGUAGCAGUGAAAUGCGUAGAUAUGCGGAGGAACACCGAUGGCGAAGGCAAUCCCCUGGGCCUGCACUGACGCUCAUGCACGAAAGCGUGGGGAGCAAACAGGAUUAGAAACCCCGGUAGUCC